UGGGGAAUAUUGGACAAUGGGGGCAACCCUGAUCCAGCAAUGCCGCGUGUGUGAUGAAGGCCCUAGGGUUGUAAAGCACUUUCAACGGUGACGAUGAUGACGGUAACCGUAGAAGAAGCCCCGGCUAACUUCGUGCCAGCAGCCGCGGUAAUACGAAGGGGGCGAGCGUUGUUCGGAAUUACUGGGCGUAAAGGGCGCGUAGGCGGUCUAUCCAGUUGGGCGUGAAAGCCCUGGGCUCAACCCAGGAAUUGCGUCCAAUACUAAUAGACUAGAGACCGAGAGAGGAUAGUGGAAUUUCCAGUGUAGAGGUGAAAUUCGUAGAUAUUGGAAAGAACACCAGUGGCGAAAGCGACUAUCUGGCUCGGUUCUGACGCUGAGGCGCGAAAGCGUGGGGAGCAAACAGG
RNAcentral lists this ribosomal RNA (404 nucleotides) under uncultured bacterium. Its description in RNAcentral is "bacterial SSU rRNA". It matches the Rfam family "Bacterial small subunit ribosomal RNA", at positions 355 to 776 of the family's 1533-position model. The record is from RNAcentral.